AUGGAGAUUUUCAAGCAUGUCAGAGAAGUUGAUUGCGAUCCUAAUAUCUCCAUUGCUUCUCACAUCUUAUUUACUGUGCCUAUCAUGGUCGCAUCGGCCAGCAGAAGUUGUUCAAAGUUGAAAUUAUUGAAGAAUUAUUUGAGAACAACAAUGACUUAAGAGAGAUUAAAUGGCUUUGCUUCAUUAUCCAUUGUGAGGAAAUUAUUGGAUGAGAUUGACAUCGACCCAAUCAUAAGUGACUUUGCAUCGAGGAAUGUUGAAGAGAAUUUUAAGGUAAUAUGUAUAAAUUAG
This 291-nucleotide ribosomal RNA is filed under the name Triticum aestivum (bread wheat). RNAcentral describes it as "partial small subunit ribosomal RNA". The record is from RNAcentral. Lineage: Eukaryota; Viridiplantae; Streptophyta; Magnoliopsida; Poales; Poaceae.